AACGAACGCUGGCGGCAGGCCUAACACAUGCAAGUCGAGCGCCCUUUCGGGGGCGCGGCGGACGGGUGAGUAACGCGUGGGAAUAUGCCCUUCUCUACGUAAUAGCCUCUGGAAACUGAGAGUAAUACCGUAUACGCCCUGUGGGGGAAAGAUUUAUCGGGGAAGGAUUAGCCCGCGUUGGAUUAGGUAGUUGGUGGGGUAAUGGCCUACCAAGCCGACGAUCCAUAGCUGGGUUGAGAGGAUGAUCAGCCACACUGGGACUGAGACACGGCCGAGACUCUUACGGGAGGCAGCAGUGGGGAAUCUUAGACAACGGGGGCAACCCUGAUCUCGCCAGGCCGGGUGAGUGAUGAAGGUCGUAGGGUUGUAAAGCUCUUUCAGCUGGGAAGAUAAUGACGGUACCAGCAGAAGAAGCCCCGGCUAACUCCGUG
Molecule: ribosomal RNA, 431 nt
Filed under: uncultured bacterium
Lineage: Bacteria
Description: partial 16S ribosomal RNA
Rfam family: Bacterial small subunit ribosomal RNA
Source: RNAcentral